Molecule: ribosomal RNA, 737 nt
Filed under: uncultured Planctomycetota bacterium
Lineage: Bacteria; Pseudomonadati; Planctomycetota
Description: bacterial SSU rRNA
Rfam family: Bacterial small subunit ribosomal RNA
Source: RNAcentral
GCGGCGAAAGGGGGAGUAACACGUAACCAACGUACCCCUCAGAUCGGGAUAACCACUGGAAACGGUGGAUAAUACUGAAUGGUCCUAGGAAGGACAUCCUUCCGAAGGUAAACGGCGGCUUCGGCUGCUGUUGAGGGAGCGGGUUGCGUCCUAUCAGCUUGUUGGUGAGGUAACGGCUCACCAAGGCUAUGACGGGUAGCGGGUCUGAGAGGAUGAUCCGCCACACUGGGACUGAGACACUGCCCAGACUCCUACGGGAGGCUGCAGUCGAGAAUCUUCCACAAUGGGCGAAAGCCUGAUGGAGCGACGCUGCGUGUAGGAUGAAGGCCUUAGGGUUGUAAACUACUGUCACGCUAUAGGAACCCGUGUAGGUUAAUAGCCUGCGCGCUGACCAAAGCGAGAGGAAGUGCCGGCUAACUCCGUGCCAGCAGCCGCGGUAAGACGGAGGGCGCAAGCGUUGUUCGGAAUCACUGGGCAUAAAGGGCGCGUAGGCGGCCAGUUCAGUCGGAUGUGAAAUCCCCCGGCCCAACCGGGGAACUGCAUUCGAUACUGACUGGCUAGAGGAUGGUAGGAGCCAAUGGAACUCCAGGUGGAACGGUGAAAUGUGUAGAUAUCUGGAGGAACACCGGUGGCGAAAGCGAUUGGCUGGGCCAUUUCUGACGCUGAGGCGCGAAAGCUAGGGGAGCGAACGGGAUUAGAUACCCCGGUAGUCCUAGCCGUAAACGAUGGGUACUGGG